This 796-nucleotide ribosomal RNA is filed under the name Bacillus cereus. RNAcentral describes it as "bacterial SSU rRNA". It matches the Rfam family "Bacterial small subunit ribosomal RNA", at positions 10 to 786 of the family's 1533-position model. The record is from RNAcentral. Lineage: Bacteria; Bacillati; Bacillota; Bacilli; Caryophanales; Bacillaceae.
AGUUUGAUUCUGGCUCAGGAUGAACGCUGGCGGCGUGCCUAAUACAUGCAAGUCGAGCGAAUGGAUUAAGAGCUUGCUCUUAUGAAGUUAGCGGCGGACGGGUGAGUAACACGUGGGUAACCUGCCCAUAAGACUGGGAUAACUCCGGGAAACCGGGGCUAAUACCGGAUAACAUUUUGAACCGCAUGGUUCGAAAUUGAAAGGCGGCUUCGGCUGUCACUUAUGGAUGGACCCGCGUCGCAUUAGCUAGUUGGUGAGGUAACGGCUCACCAAGGCAACGAUGCGUAGCCGACCUGAGAGGGUGAUCGGCCACACUGGGACUGAGACACGGCCCAGACUCCUACGGGAGGCAGCAGUAGGGAAUCUUCCGCAAUGGACGAAAGUCUGACGGAGCAACGCCGCGUGAGUGAUGAAGGCUUUCGGGUCGUAAAACUCUGUUGUUAGGGAAGAACAAGUGCUAGUUGAAUAAGCUGGCACCUUGACGGUACCUAACCAGAAAGCCACGGCUAACUACGUGCCAGCAGCCGCGGUAAUACGUAGGUGGCAAGCGUUAUCCGGAAUUAUUGGGCGUAAAGCGCGCGCAGGUGGUUUCUUAAGUCUGAUGUGAAAGCCCACGGCUCAACCGUGGAGGGUCAUUGGAAACUGGGAGACUUGAGUGCAGAAGAGGAAAGUGGAAUUCCAUGUGUAGCGGUGAAAUGCGUAGAGAUAUGGAGGAACACCAGUGGCGAAGGCGACUUUCUGGUCUGUAACUGACACUGAGGCGCGAAAGCGUGGGGAGCAAACAGGAUUAGAUACC